Molecule: ribosomal RNA, 433 nt
Filed under: Salmonella enterica subsp. enterica serovar Enteritidis
Lineage: Bacteria; Pseudomonadati; Pseudomonadota; Gammaproteobacteria; Enterobacterales; Enterobacteriaceae
Description: bacterial SSU rRNA
Rfam family: Bacterial small subunit ribosomal RNA
Source: RNAcentral
GCCCAGAUGGGAUUAGCUUGUUGGUGAGGUAACGGCUCACCAAGGCGACGAUCCCUAGCUGGUCUGAGAGGAUGACCAGCCACACUGGAACUGAGACACGGUCCAGACUCCUACGGGAGGCAGCAGUGGGGAAUAUUGCACAAUGGGCGCAAGCCUGAUGCAGCCAUGCCGCGUGUAUGAAGAAGGCCUUCGGGUUGUAAAGUACUUUCAGCGGGGAGGAAGGUGUUGUGGUUAAUAACCGCAGCAAUUGACGUUACCCGCAGAAGAAGCACCGGCUAACUCCGUGCCAGCAGCCGCGGUAAUACGGAGGGUGCAAGCGUUAAUCGGAAUUACUGGGCGUAAAGCGCACGCAGGCGGUCUGUCAAGUCGGAUGUGAAAUCCCCGGGCUCAACCUGGGAACUGCAUUCGAAACUGGCAGGCUUGAGUCUUGUAG